RNAcentral lists this non-coding RNA (23 nucleotides) under Arabidopsis thaliana (thale cress). Lineage: Eukaryota; Viridiplantae; Streptophyta; Magnoliopsida; Brassicales; Brassicaceae. The record is from RNAcentral.
GCAAAAGUACUCUAUCGCAGCCU